GAUGAAGAACGUAGUGAAAUGCGAUAAGUAAUGUGAAUUGCAGAAUUCAGUGAAUCAUCGAAUCUUUGAACGCACAUUGCGCCCGGCAGUACUCUGCCGGGCAUGCCUGUUCGAGCGUCAUUUCAACCCUCAAGCCCUGCUUGGUGUUGGGGUCCUACGGCCGCCGUGGGCCCUGAAAGGAAGUGGCGGGCUCGCUACAACUCCGAGCGUAGUAAUUCAUUAUCUCGCUUAGGGCGUUGGGCGGCGCUCCUGCCGUUAAAGAACCAUCUUUAACUCAAGGUUGACCUCGGAUCAGGUAGGAAUACCCGCUGAACUUAAGCAUAUCAAUAAGCGGAGGA
Molecule: unclassified non-coding RNA, 338 nt
Filed under: soil metagenome
Description: partial contains 5.8S ribosomal RNA, internal transcribed spacer 2, and large subunit ribosomal RNA
Rfam family: 5.8S ribosomal RNA (bases 1-120)
Source: RNAcentral